CCGACCUAUUUCAGAACAUGGAAAUUCACAAGAGCACCUUGGGGAUUCAGCCAAUAUUAGAAAAAGAGUUUUGGUGGUGCAGCCCUACCAAAGGAACUGGCAGUGGCAGCUUUGGCCGUCAGCACUGCACACCUGCUGGAGAUAGGGUAGGGAGAAAAAGAACCUCAGCCUAAUGGAAUGCAUGUACCUGCAUGCAUAGACACAUAGGUAUAAGCAAACGCACGUGUUUCUGUAAAUGUGGUGGCACAGGAAGGAUUUGCACAGGUGAUAAUUUUUAAGAUGACAAAAUGAUAUGUAUUUCUUUCUCGGUGUCAUUCUUAGAGUGCUUUGGUUGAGGUUUAAAACAAUAUCCAACAAUCACGAUCAGACAGGCAACACAGUAAAACGGAUUUUGAGUGAUGCAAAUUGGCACAGCUAUUUUGAAUCGCAUGUGAUGCAGACAUAAUAAUUGUUCCUGCCUGCCUGUGUUAAAAUUUCUCUGCUAUACAAAACCUACCAUGAGCUGUAGCUCUCCUUUCUGUUAUGUACUCCUCUGAGCAUGUUUACUACUUAUGGCAAAGUAGUACUGAAUAUCUUGCUGUCAUGUUGGGUCACAGGGCAAACGAACAGCAAACAAAUGAGAAAGCAGAAGCAGAUCAAAACCAAGAGUCAGUGUAUGUAUGUCUGAUGUUGUACUGACUGGAAAUGAUUCCAAAAGUCAACAUAUGUAAGUAGUUAAAUGUGGAUUCUAUUUUCCCUUUGGUCCAGGGCUCUAACUUUCUUUACAGCAAACACUCCCAAGCAUACCAUCUGUUGCUGGAGAGUGAGCAGUUUAAUGAGGAGGAUUAGAUUCUUUCCAUCUCACUUACUCCUUGAUGUCUGCUCCAAUUUCUAGGUCAUUGUUGUCUUCCAGCAAUACAAAAUUUCCUUUGUAGCAUCAGCAGUAACAGUCGUACAUAUAAAUAUAUAUAUAUAUACAAGCACUUAUGUGCAUGUGUACUCUGUAGCCCCCCUGCUCUGCCUUUCACCAGUCCAUUUAUUAUUCUUCUCCCUUUGCCCAGCAGAAGAAGCCUGAGUGUUCAGGAGCAGCAGAGGCUGCCACACUCCAUCCCUGCCAGCGUUAUGUUGUGUUUGUGCCAAGGUAAAGGCCAGCAAGAGCCGUGUCCAGACAUGGACAGAGCUGCAUUAAUCCGUAUGUUUGAGGUGAAGGUCCUAUUGUGCCUCUGCCACAAUGAAAUUGUGCCUCAGACGUGCUCCUCUUGCAGUCCAGCUGGUUUAGCAGUCUGGAAGAACUAGGAACCAGUUGGUUGUAGCAGAAUUGAUGGCAAUGUAUGGCUUGGAGGGAUAGGAUGAUAUCUCAUCCUAAUUAAUAAUCACGUAGAGACUUGCACACUAAAAUGAGAUUCAUGAAUCACUUCUUUUAGCCCUGAGCAAGUCUGCAGAAAAUGUUUUGUUUUUCAGAGGAACAAACAAGACAACAAGCAAAGCUAACCCACUCACCACGAGCACUUCUGUUCAGGCAGAAAGAUCCACAUUUUGGAGGAGAGCACGGCAUUUUCCAAAGGAUGGAAAUGCCAGAGCACUAAUUACCUGAUGCUUUAAUGUACCAACCAGAGGGAAAGAAUGAGUGUUAGGAGCAGACAGCCAGGGAGAUGAGCACAUCUUAGUAUUUAGCAAGAAAGAGAAGCAUACCCAGAUAGUGCUGCUGAGGUGGCAGUCCCAGCACUGAGCUCACAAAUCAGAGGUUUACCUGGUUUCCUUCCUCUGCUCCUUACGGAUGAUAUCCAAAGUCUGAAUACUGGUCUCAAACUUAGUCCUGUCUCUGUGGCAAACUCUGGUACCAUGUGGGAUGAUCUCUAAGAAGGAAUACCACAACAAAGCUGUUGGAUGGGUGUAUAAGAACCAAAAUUACAGUCCAGACUGGAGCCUGCUGCAGGCUAAGACACAGCACAGAGAAAUAAAUGUUUGGAAGGAUCAAAUGAUGAGCAACUCUCAUUUACUGGAAACUAUAUAGGGAACAUCACAUUUUCUUCAAGUCCUUCUUGUCUGGGGUGGGCUAGCCACAUGUACAUUUCUUCUCGAAACCUUUGUAGAUUUGAGAACAUUACAAGCAAAAUCUCAGAAUGACAGAGAGUAUGUUAGUUCCUCAUUUGGUUUUCUCCUCAAAAGAACAGGGAGUUCUUCCUGUCUUGGGACCAUACAGCUCCUGCAAAUCCAGCCGUCUUCUGCUUCUUUGAUCCUCAGCUCAUCAGAGAUCCCAGUGCCCGCACGUUGCUAUCUCAUGGUUUGCUCCCGAUGUUUGGAUUCAAGCAUCAAGAGUGCAGGAAAUGAAUUUCAGUAGAGCUGCAGUGAAAGUAGAACAAAGAGAUUGCAACAGUGAGUAAAAACUCCCAAGAGAUUGACCAUACCCAUUUGGGCAUGAGUAUCUCUUUAGUAGGUGUCUAGGAAAGGUGCUGGUGUUUCAACAACACUGCUGUAACCUUUCCACAAGUGUGCUGGGUAAGAACAGGCACCACUGCUCUGGGAAAAAUGUGCAUCAGCAAGAUGGCAAAGGACUUGAAUCCUCACCAGACAAUCCAGGGAGACAGCACUUGGCUGAGGAUUGGCCAUGGGGGUUCUGUCCCCACCACCAGUGCAACAUUCUCUGUGGCUGUGACUGAUGUUAGGUCACAAAGGUUUGGCAGCCAGGGGUUGCUAAUUUGGUGCUUGCAUAGCUAAGUGUGGGAAAAGAAGCAUAUGACAUGGUUCCAUUUAUUAUUAAAAACCACAGAAAUGUAUUUGAUUGUUGGGGAGUUGUCCUUUGUCUUCCUGUCACUUGUUCCAUACCAUUGCUGGUUCUGCUUUUUACAGUCACAUGUUCCCCUCUAGGCUGGGGAGAGGAUUUUCAAGAUGAGUUACAGCUAUGCUGCUGACUUCAUAUUUGGUAGACUGUGCUCAUGUUUGCUCAUGUUUUGAUAUUAUGCUUCUUUUUUUCUACUGCCACAGAACUUCCUGCCACAUACGAAAAACUUCUGCAAUAAUGGCCUUGUUUGCAUGACAUGAUUUUGAGGAAAACCCUUCAUAGCACGAGGGCAAAGUGUCAGUAGUUGAACACUUGGGCACCUCUCUAAGACCUAAGAUGUCUUGCACAACAGUAAGCCAGGGCCCCCAGCAUAAGAAAGACAUAGAACUGUGGGAGCAAGUCAAGAGGAGGGCUACAGAGGUGAUCAGAGGGGUAGGGCAACUUCCCUAUGAAGAAAGGCUGAGGGAUCUGGGCUUGUUUAGCUGGAGAAGAGAAGGCUAUGGGGAGACCUCACUGUGGCCUUCCAGUUCUUUAAAGGGAGCUUAACAACAGGAGGGAGUGCGACUUUUUUACAUGGCCUGAUAAUGAGAGGACAAGGAAGAAUGGUUUUAAACUAAAAAGGGGGAAACUCAUAGAUGUUCGGAGGUGUUUUUUACUCAGAGGGUGGUUAGGCACUGGAACACGUUGCUUUGAGAAGCUGUGGGUGCCCCAUCCCUGGAGGCAUUCAAGGCCAGGUUGGACGGGGCCCGGGGCAGUCUGAUCCGGUGGGUGGCAGCCCAGACCGUGGCAGGGGGCUGGAACUAGAUGAUCUUCAAAGUUCUUUCCAUCCCAAACCAUUCUAUGAUUCUAUGAUUCUCCGAAUACAUUUCUGUCUCUGUUUAUCCUAGCAAGAGAUUUUCCCCACAGACCUUCCCUACUAGUCUCUAAUGUCUCCUCC
Gallus gallus (chicken) is the source of this 3698-nucleotide long non-coding RNA. The record is from Ensembl. NCBI's taxonomy places the organism in Eukaryota, Metazoa, Chordata, Aves, Galliformes, Phasianidae.